This is a non-coding RNA of Gorilla gorilla gorilla (western lowland gorilla), 148 nucleotides long. It matches the Rfam family "Metazoan signal recognition particle RNA". From Rfam's summary of the family: The signal recognition particle (SRP) is a universally conserved ribonucleoprotein. Lineage: Eukaryota; Metazoa; Chordata; Mammalia; Primates; Hominidae. The record is from Rfam.
GCCAGGCGUGGUGGCGCGUGCCUGUAGUCCCAGCUACUCAGGUGGCUGAGGCAGGAGAAUUGCUUGAACCCAGGAGGCCGAGGUCGCAGUGAGCCAAGAUUGUGUCACUGCACUCCAGCCUGGGUGACAGAGCGAGACUCUGUCUCAA